Molecule: ribosomal RNA, 420 nt
Filed under: uncultured eukaryote
Lineage: Eukaryota
Description: bacterial SSU rRNA
Rfam family: Eukaryotic small subunit ribosomal RNA
Source: RNAcentral
CAGUAGCGUAUAUUAAAGCUGUUGCAGUUAAAAAGCUCGUAGUUGGAUCUUGGGCCCAGGCCUGCGGUCCGCCGUGAGGCGUGUACUGCAGUCCUGGCCUUCCUCUCGGUUUUCGCCCGGUGCCCUUAAUUGAGUGCCAGGAGAGGCCGGAACGUUUACUUUGAAAAAUUGGAGUGUUCAAAGCAGGCCUCGCGCCUGAACAGCAGAGCAUGGAAUAAUGGAAUAGGACCUCGGUUCUAUUGCGUUGGUUUUCGGAACUCGAGGUAAUGAUUAAUAGGGAUAGUUGGGGGCAUUCGUAUUUAACUGUCAGAGGUGAAAUUCUUGGAUUUGUUAAAGACGGACUACCGCGAAAGCAUUUGCCAAGGAUGUUUUCAUUGAUCAAGAACGAAAGUUAGGGGAUCGAAGACGAUUAGAUACCAU